RNAcentral lists this ribosomal RNA (328 nucleotides) under uncultured eukaryote. Its description in RNAcentral is "partial 18S ribosomal RNA". It matches the Rfam family "Eukaryotic small subunit ribosomal RNA", at positions 1470 to 1796 of the family's 1831-position model. The record is from RNAcentral.
CCCUUAGAUGUCCUGGGCCGCACGCGCGCUACACUGAUGCAUGCAACGAGUUUAUAACCUUGGCCUGAAAGGUCUGGGUAAUCUUUUGAACGUGCAUCGUGAUAGGGAUAGAUUAUUGCAAUUGUUAAUCUUGAACGAGGAAUUCCUAGUAAACGCGAGUCAUCAGCUCGCAUUGAUUACGUCCCUGCCCUUUGUACACACCGCCCGUCGCACCUACCGAUUGAAUGGUUCGGUUAAGAUCUCGGACUUCGAUAUUUAUUCUUUAUUGAGUUUAUAUUGUGGGAAGUUAUCUAAACCUCAUCAUUUAGAGGAAGGUGAAGUCGUAACA